GCUCUCUCUCUGUGUCCUGCCAGUGGUUUUACCCUAUGGUAGGUUACGUCAUGCUGUUCUACCACAGGGUAGAACCACGGACGGGAUACCGGGGCGCG
This is a microRNA precursor of Crocodylus porosus (Australian saltwater crocodile), 98 nucleotides long. NCBI's taxonomy places the organism in Eukaryota, Metazoa, Chordata, Crocodylia, Crocodylidae. The record is from Ensembl.